This 209-nucleotide ribosomal RNA is filed under the name uncultured Mesotoga sp. Its description in RNAcentral is "partial 16S ribosomal RNA". It matches the Rfam family "Bacterial small subunit ribosomal RNA", at positions 568 to 775 of the family's 1533-position model. Lineage: Bacteria; Thermotogati; Thermotogota; Thermotogae; Kosmotogales; Kosmotogaceae. The record is from RNAcentral.
AGCGUAGGUGGCCUAACAUGUCAACUGUGAAAACCCGGAGCUCAACUCCGGACUUGCAGUUGAAACUGGUAGGCUUGAGGACGGUAGAGGAAGACGGAACUGCCAGUGUAGGGGUAAAAUCCUUAGAUAUUGGCAGGAACGCCGGUGACCGAAGGUGGUUUUCUGGGCCGGUUCUGACACUGAUGCUCGAAAGCCAGGGGAGCGAACGG